RNAcentral lists this ribosomal RNA (354 nucleotides) under uncultured bacterium. Its description in RNAcentral is "bacterial SSU rRNA". It matches the Rfam family "Bacterial small subunit ribosomal RNA", at positions 8 to 350 of the family's 1533-position model. The record is from RNAcentral.
AGAGUUUGAUCAUGGCUCAGGAUGAACGCUAGCUACAGGCUUAACACAUGCAAGUCGAGGGGAAACGACAUCGAAAGCUUGCUUUUGAUGGGCGUCGACCGGCGCACGGGUGAGUAACGCGUAUCCAACCUGCCCACCACUUGGGGAUAACCUUGCGAAAGUAAGACUAAUACCCAAUGACGUCUCUAGAAGACAUCUGAAGGAGAUUAAGAUUUAUCGGUGAUGGAUGGGGAUGCGUCUGAUUAGCUUGUUGGCGGGGUAACGGCCCACCAAGGCGACGAUCAGUAGGGGUUCUGGAGAGGAAGGUCCCCCAUAUUGGAACUGAGACACGGUACCAAACUCCUACGGGAGGCA